Cydia amplana is the source of this 591-nucleotide long non-coding RNA. RefSeq lists it as uncharacterized. The record is from RefSeq and is a predicted model, not a curated record. The transcript is spliced from 2 exons. NCBI's taxonomy places the organism in Eukaryota, Metazoa, Arthropoda, Insecta, Lepidoptera, Tortricidae.
ACACUCUUCACUUUAAUGAAGUUUUCCCGUCCGAAGAAUCUGAAACUAGUAUUCUAGAAGGAAGUACUUCUUCAAGCGGUUCUGCAUAUCAAAAGAAGAAAAGACUAAAGCUAACACAAAAAAAGAAGAAAAAGAAAAAUACUAGCAAUUUUGAAACAGCUCACGAACUUCCCAUAGGAAAAACUCCAUCAAAAACGCAACUUAAAAAAAGUAACCAAGAAAGUAGACAGAAAGGAGAAACUUACAUUAAUUCAAAAGGAAAAAUAAUUAAAAGUAAAUGCAUGAAAUCAAACCCAUGUGUUGGAGUUAACUGUGGUAAUAACUGUGGAAAUAUUUCUGAAGAGACGCGUAAUAGUAUUUUUAAACAUUUUUGGGGAUUGGGCAGUAACCAAAGAAGAAAGGAUUGGAUAUCACAAUGUGCUUAUCGUCGUUCAGUUAAAAGGUCAAGUAAAACUGCUGCAAAAAAUAGGUCUCAAGCCAUUGAGUACUAUAUUAACGAAGGGGAAGGUAGACGCAGGGUUUGCCAAAAAUUCUUAAUUGCAACUUUAGAUGUUACGCAGAGAUUUAUUCUCUAUACACUUGACUCUAUGG